CAAGGUUUCCGUAGGUGACCUGCGGAAGGAUCAUUG
RNAcentral lists this ribosomal RNA (36 nucleotides) under Eucalyptus boliviana. Its description in RNAcentral is "partial 18S ribosomal RNA". The record is from RNAcentral. Lineage: Eukaryota; Viridiplantae; Streptophyta; Magnoliopsida; Myrtales; Myrtaceae.